GUGGGGAAUAUUGCGCAAUGGGCGAAAGCCUGACGCAGCAACGCCGCGUGAGGGAUGACGGCCUUCGGGUUGUAAACCUCUUUCAGCAGGGAAGAAGCGAAAGUGACGGUACCUGCAGAAGAAGCACCGGCUAACUACGUGCCAGCAGCCGCGGUAAUACGUAGGGUGCAAGCGUUGUCCGGAUUUAUUGGGCGUAAAGAGCUCGUAGGCGGUUAGUCACGUCGGAUGUGAAAACCAGGAGCUUAACUCCUGGCCUGCAUUCGAUACGGGCUGACUAGAGUGUUGUAGGGGAGACUGGAACUCCUGGUGUAGCGGUGAAAUGCGCAGAUAUCAGGAAGAACACCGGUGGCGAAGGCGGGUCUCUGGGCAACUACUGACGCUGAGGAGCGAAAGCGUGGGGAGCAAACAGGAUUAGAAACCCCGGUAGUCC
This 430-nucleotide ribosomal RNA is filed under the name uncultured bacterium. Its description in RNAcentral is "bacterial SSU rRNA". It matches the Rfam family "Bacterial small subunit ribosomal RNA", at positions 354 to 796 of the family's 1533-position model. The record is from RNAcentral.